UUCCCUCCUCGAAGAUCUCUUUUUAGGGUGUUUGUCUAGGGUUCUUCUAUCUUUUGCUGCUACUUUUUUCUCCUUAUCGAUUCUUCGGCCUUCCUCGAACUUUGCUGCUCGCACAGCAGGCCUUGCUAUACCUUCUUUGCAGUCUUCUUCUCCACCUUGGAUUCUUAGUCUCCCUCUCCUCCCUGUUGAUGAGCUCCAUGACUCAAUUUGAUAUCCCUCUACCUCCCUUUCUCCUCUCUUCUCCCUCUCCUCCUCUGAUAUGCCACAAGUGGGUUUUGAUUAAAAUUCAUGUUCUCCAACUUUGAUAUUUUAUAGUCAAAAGUUUCCAUCCAUUUUUGAAUUUAUUUUUUGUCAUCAAUUUUUAUGGGCCUUUUUCUCCUUUCAUUAAUGCAUCGAUUAUCGAUUGAAUUGAUCCAAAAAUGAUAUGAUGGAUUUGGCUCAACCAAUAAUUUUUAUUGGAAUAAAAGUCACUCAUUCCUAUUCUCAUUUUAAAGCCUAAUUUGC
RNAcentral lists this long non-coding RNA (504 nucleotides) under Elaeis guineensis (African oil palm). Its description in RNAcentral is "long non-coding RNA (EGUI_LNC081347)". The record is from RNAcentral. Lineage: Eukaryota; Viridiplantae; Streptophyta; Magnoliopsida; Arecales; Arecaceae.